RNAcentral lists this long non-coding RNA (1035 nucleotides) under Canis lupus dingo (dingo). RNAcentral's name for it is "lncRNA (ENSCAFG00020026018.1)". Lineage: Eukaryota; Metazoa; Chordata; Mammalia; Carnivora; Canidae. The record is from RNAcentral.
AUGGGGGUGGGCGAAGGAUUGUGUGGCGUUGCUUUGCAGGGGUGCAGAGGAUGUGGGAUCGAAAGACGCCCCCCGCCCAGGUUCUGGAGGGGGGGGGGGCCGUGUCCCAGGAAGCUGCGGGUGAGGCGGGGCAGGGAGCCUGAUGCCUGCGAAGAGCACAGGAAAAUGCAUCUUGGUCAAAGUAUAUUUGGUAACAGGUGCAGAGACGCGCGACAGAAACUCGGGACUAGAUGGGACUGUCGGUGUGCGGCAGGCGAGUCCUGUGGAGCCCGCGGCGGGGAGCUCAGGCUCUGCAGGCAGUGGGGGGCAGGGCGGCUCCCCGACUCUGCGGCCUCCUGGGAGCUGUUCUCAGACCACCUGCUCCAUCGCUGCCGCGUGGCCCGGUGCGCUCCGGCCCAGCCUCCGCCCGCUGCCCAACUCCAGGCUCAGGACCGUCCACUCCAGCUCCGGAUCUCAGUUCACGUUGCGGACGGAAUCCCCCUGGGCUGCUGCUGGCCCACGACUCGUCCCCGAGGCGGGCUGCAAACUGCAGGUGGGCUUCCGGGGCCACGGCUGCCGCAGGUGCAGGCUUGGGGGGGCGGGGGGGGGCUCGGCUCUCCUGCCUCUGUCCUCACCGCGGGGUCACAGAGCAAGCCGGUCCACGGCUGCCGGCGGAGAUGGAGGGAAAGGAAGGCGGGAACCUGGAAGGCGAGGUGCAGCAGGUCUGUGGCCUGCGCUCCCCUCCCGGGGACGGGGCCAGAGGCCUUUGCUUGCAACCUAAGAAAGUGCCGAGCACGGCUGCUGGGACGGAGGGGCAUCCUCUGCGCCCCCACCCCCACCCCCCCGACCCCCCCGCGUGCUCUGCGCCACCCAAGGUGCUGGUGCUCCAGGAGCAAACCAAGCGGUGGGCUGGCCUCACACAAGGCACAGGGGUGGCAGGACACAGGGGCACGUGGCAGUUUGGGGUCCUUCUGUCCCCAAAGCAGUGCUCUUUGGAGGCUCCCUGGUGCCCCGGGGGGCAAAUCGCGGCCUGGAUGUGAGCGGUCAUCCGAGUGA